Heterocephalus glaber (naked mole-rat) is the source of this 1640-nucleotide non-coding RNA. NCBI's taxonomy places the organism in Eukaryota, Metazoa, Chordata, Mammalia, Rodentia, Bathyergidae. The record is from RefSeq and is a predicted model, not a curated record.
UAGGGGAGGCACCCCCUGAGAUGUUCCUGGGCCUCUUAGUCUCACUGCUGACACUUAAGGGAUUGCAGAGACGCCUGAGAUGACCUCCAAAUUUUCUGAAGCCCAUCUGGUCUGGGGAAAAGAAGAUUCAGACUGAGGAGGCCAGGGCUCCUUCUCUCUUGCUCCCCAGGAGCCCAUGGGAAAUGUUGAAGUAGGGGGCCAGCAAGUCUAUUCCCUGGUGGACACUGGUGCUGAGAGUGUGCCCCUUGCCCCAGCCAGCCAGCCUAUCUUCCCUUUUGAGUGGACUGACCCAGUUUCCAGUGACUCCUGCCAGCUCACCUGGACGUGGCUGCCUCAAGGAUUCAAAAAUGCAUCCACCCUGUUUGGUGAGGCCCUCCAGAAGGUCUUGGUGAGUUUUUGAUCCAACCACCCUAACCUCACCCUGCUUCAAUAUGUGGAUGAUUUGUUAUUAGCUGCUAAUAGCUAUUCAGAAUGCCUGCAGGGGAUGUGAGAGCUUCUUCAGUUACUACAGGAGUUAAGCUACUGCAUAUCAACCAAGAAGGCACAACACUGAGCCUCUAAAGUAUUGUCCCUGGGGUAUGAAAUCUCAGAAGGAAGAAGAGCCUUGUCCUAGGCCAGGAAAAGGGCCAUCCUCUAGAUACCCACACCAACAACCAAGAAACAGCCUCGCCUAGUCUUCUCAGUAAGACAGGUUCUCAAUCCAGUUACACUGAUGCCAGAUGAUGAUCCACACAUGCCAAUUCAUGACUGUGAGGAGGUGCUGGACAAGACCCAGGGGGCCAAUUGGACUGAACAGACAUCCUCUCCAUUAAGGCAGAUGCCAUCCUCUUCACAGAUGGAAGCAGCAUGGUGAUGAAAGGCAAAGAGGAGAUGUUGAAUGAACACGCAGGACCAUUUUGGUUUGCAUAAGAAGAGGGAAUCACCUCAGUAAAGAAAGAGGUGAGACUCUUGUCUGACAGUGUGAAGGAAGCAGAGAUGAGAACAGGAUGUGAAACACUGAAGAUAAGAAAUGGUGGCGAAUUUCCACCAGAGGUCAUGAAGGUAUGGACUGGUAGGAGAACUGGCACUUCUGCAGGUGAUACUGCAGGGCAGGAGAUGCCACAAGCUGGCCCUGCUGAUCUCACUAGACUCUCAUCAAGGGAUCUUUUUCAAUUUUUAUUUUUUAUUAGUACAUCUUCACAGUACAUAAUGAUUACAACUUUUCUGUCAUUCUCUCAACUCAGGUUGAGUUCCUCUGGGUCCUCAGGUACAUCAAGCUCUGUUUUACCUCCCACCUUCACUGAGAAAAUGUGAGUUAUGCUCUUCUCUGUCCUCAGAAAACUUCAGUUGAUAUCUUUCUGCUGGGAAACUUCACUCAGCUCAGGCCCUGGUUAGCCUCUUUUGCUGUUUGUGCCUGCAACUCCCUAAGACUUCUUCUCAUGGUACACAUCACACCUGAUGAUUAAUAUUUAUAUAAUUGUUUCUCUAAUGUUGGAUCAUGAGCUCCAGAAGGAUGCGGUUGGUAUAUAUACUAAUCACUGCUCUAACCCAGGAUAUAGCACAUUUUUUGUAUGUACUAUAUACUCGAUAAAUGUCUUUUGAAUGCGUGAACCCUAGGCUUUGUCCUUGAUAGGAGACCGUUCUUCCACUAAGCAACAUCU